GCCGUCGACGCAGUCGGCUCGCGACUGGCGAGCGAGUCAGAGUGCGACCUCCGCGGCGGCCGCGGCUGCUCGAGCCAUCGACGGAGAGCUGUAGGCCCGCGUUCCGCGUUCUCCGUGGCUGUCGGCCUGCGACCGGUCGAGCAUGGCCUAUCACCACCGCGAUAGCCUAGGCAGUCAGCAGCGCUACGGCUACAGGGACCCGGAGGCCGAGGUGUCCGAGCAGAUAUCGCGUCACCAUGAUCUCGAGCGCGGACUCGAACGCAUGCAGGAGGUGCACGACAGAGGCCCCACUCUCGCCCACGUCGUCAUGGAGGAGUGCAGAGAAGCCAAAAUCAGAAAGCAAAAUAAACAAAUUCUUAUUAGUGUUGGAGUUACUAUAGGCUUAAUUGUUGCUGUCAUAUGGUUUGUAGUAACGAGAUGAAUGCUUAGAUCCUGAGUUAUUCAUAUUGCAAGAGCUGCUGAACCAAAAAAUAAUGAAAUGCUGUGCCAUUAUAAAAUCUUAAUCUUUAUUUUGGAACUUUUCCAUCUCUCUCCUAAAAUUCAAAAUUAAUUAGUACUCACAAUUCGUAUUAAAAUAAUUAUUUUCUAAGGAUUAUCUUUACUACAAAACCCCUCUUAAUAAUUUUAUUUACAAUUUAUUACAAUAUAUACCAAAUAUCUGUAUGUAUUCUUAUAAAAAAUAUUAUUAGUAUUUCUUUAGCAUCAAUAAGAUUUGUUAUGUUUUACAUCUGAAACACAAUGUACUUAUAUUUUACGAUAAUAAGUGUGCAUAAACCAAUAUUUUCUCCAACAUUCUCUUAUCAUUAAAUUUUUUAUAUUUCGAGUUCAAAAAUAAUUCGAAUACUUUCAAUGUUUUAUAAGGCUGAUAACAUCCAAUAGAUCUUUUGUAACAAUAGCGGUUUAGAAAAAAAUGUAUGAACUUUGUUUAAGUGUAUUAUUCAAUAGUAUAAAUACCGAAAACUGUAGAUCUAAUUUUCUGACUCAUAGUAUGUAUUCGAACUAUGCUAGCCUUUAUAAGAGGUACAAUAAAAAGAACCAGACUUUAUGAGCCUUGAAAUAUGACCAAUCUUAUUAAUUUUACUUGUAAUUUAUUGCAAUAUAUACCAAAUAUUAAAUUAAUAUUUAUUUGUAUGAAAUAUAAAUUGUUAUCAGUAUAUACCAGUGCAUCAAUGUUCAAUUUCUUUAAAUCAUUGCAGUAACGAUAUAAUAGUUUUUAUAGAUGUGAAUAUUGGUAGAAAUAACAAGGUAGAAUGUAUUGAAAUAUUUUUAUACGUAGAUACUAUUAUAUUUGCAUGAAAAGACCACUGCUGAUUAAGCAACGCAAAAACUAACUGCCUUUACUAUGUAUGUAUCAACUAUGCUUGUACUAGUUAUUUCAUAUAUUAUCGUUUUGGCUUUUAUAAUACAAAAUAGUUAUUUAUAAGCAGCGAUAAUUUAGUAUUUGUUAAGGGUAGACAUAACUUGUUUAUUAUGAUAAUUUCUAAUUUAUUUUUAAAUUGUAAGAACAACGAUGUGUAAGUACUGCACAGCCAAAUAAAGUUUUACAUCCAAAUCUAAAUUCUAAAAAUAAAUGAAAUUUGCCAAUUUCUUUGUCCAAAGUAUCUUUUUGUUUAAAAGUUGAAAUCUUGAGAAGAAAGUGACUGGAAAAAUUGUAAUUAGAAUUCACAGCUUGACGAGUGCGGUCAAAAGCUUCAUAAUACCAGACAAAAGCAUGAAAAAAGAAGGUUUAUAAUUAACCGUGGAAAUAUCUGUCUGAAAAAAAAAAGAAAAAGAAAAUUAAAACGGCUGGUACGCUGUUUAAAAAAGUUUUUUCCUCCUAUAUAGAGUAAUGAUUUCAUAUAAAAUCGUAAUACUUCUACUUUUAAGAUGACUAUUCAAGAAAAAACUCAAUUAUAGGAAUUUUAGUACACCAGAAUUAUUUGACAGGGCGUUAUAUAAAAGCAAAAUACCGGAGAUAGCAGAAGGUAGCAUACUAAGAUUUUCUUUAGGGUUUCAUAUCACGUAAGUUUACUUUACAGUCUUGCACGUGGUGCUUUAAAAGCACACAGUUGCGGUAUAUAUUACUGCAAGUAAGAUAUAGCUGCCUGAUGCAGAUCGAGCAAGGAAAAGGAAAUUUAUUCGUUUGUAUUGGCAAUUCCAACAUUCUUUUUUCGUGAGCAAGAGUAUAAGACUGUCGAGCAAUCCUCGGAAGGCGAAGCAGCCACCGAGGUCACGUUUUCCUCCAAUCGCAUGCACGAUAUCUAUAUCUAUAUCUCAUGCUACAGACGCCAAAGUGGGCUGUGCCGGUCAUUGAGUAGCACUGGUGACCCUUAUUUCGUCAAAUAUAUUUUCGCCUGGUUUUUCAAUAUAACUUGUUGUUUCGUUUCGAUCGUUAGUACUUUGGAAGAACUAUGUAAGUCAAGUGCUAUAUACAAAUAUCGACUUUUAGUUCUCUUGUCAAGUGUGUGCACGUAUGUAUUUAAAUAUAUUCAAUUUUCGUUACUAAUACUAGUAUUGGAUACAAACUAUCCAAUUUAACAAUGGGCAUUUUUCAAAAUAAAUUUUUAUUACAUGAUAAUUUUACACAGGUAUUUGUAUAAUAGAACUAUUUUUGUAAAGCUCCUCCGAGACAUCUUUCAAUCAUAUAAAUGAUCGAUCAUUAUUCAUAACGUCGUUCAAUGCACUUUGGAGAUACAUGAUUCAUCCACUUUCAUCUUUACAUGCACGGAUUGAAAACUGCUGAAAGCAAUCUUUGAACUCUAAUCCUUAGAGCACACUUUCCGAGCACAUAUGAGCAAUGACUGCUGCGGAUACGCGGGAAAUGAAAAAGACAACAGCGAUCUGCGUUAUUGAGUAACAGCGAGAGCGACGGGGAAAGUAAGAAAGCGCAAAUAAAAAGACAAGAUAAGGAAAAGCGGAAGAUCUAUAAAAAGUCCAGUGCUGUCGAAGACAGCUGGGACCGAUAUAUUGGCAGUAGAACUUUCAGAGGCUAUCGAGCCUUUGUCUACUCCGGCGUUUAUAGACUGAUUUUGAACGUAUUCAGCAGAUUGAAUAUUGACAUACGUAUUUUUUCGCGUAUGAAUAUUUGUGCUUGAUGUCUUCAUUGCCUUAUAUAUGUAUAAUCCAAAUAUCCCUUUCAAGUUUGAGCAGAAUGUAAAAUUGACUUUCAGAUGUUUAAGUAUACUUUGUUAUAACGUGGUAAAAUUGUUAAGUUUCAUCUUUUGUAUUUUUUGAAAUAUAUUUUUCGUUAGGUUCACUUCUUUUGAUCGCUACAGCUUUUAGGGAAAGAAAUAGUGUCAAACAAUCAAUUUUGACGAAUAAGACACCGAUAUACUUUGAUUUUUUGAUAUUUUCUCAGCAAAAAUUUUUUUAGAUACUUAGCUCUCCCAAGUCUAACUGCAGUAUCAUCAUAUUAAAUAUCAAAUUUCAUUUUCAAGAACUUUUUGAACCAGUACCUACGCGAGUCUCAACUCUUGCGCUAAAAUCGUAUUCUGAUUCUAUUAAUUGAACUUUAAAUAAUAAAAUGAACAGAUAAAAUUUGACAAAAGAUAGCUCAUUAUGCUUUCCUUAGUGCUCGAGCUAGUCAGCUCGUUUCUACGUCGGUCUAAUAAAACUUUGAGAAAAGCACUUGUAUCAAUGAUAACUUCCAUACCCACUGGUUCCAAAGCGAUCGCGCGAAGAAGGUAAAAUAGAGAUCUGUCGUAAAACUUCAUAUGAUUACUUGGCGCAUCGAUCAGAAAAUCGAAUAAUGGAAAUAGCUGUAAGCAAUACGUCUCGCGAAAGAAAACUAGGACGUCAAAUUUUCAAAAUUAGGCGACAUUGUUUGACGGACAGGAAAUUUUACAGCGAUCAAUGAAAUCAGUUGGAAUUGACAACAUAAAACUGUACUGGUACAGUGAGAUUGCGUGACGAUUCGCGAUGGAAUUUCCUCGUGCUGAUGUUGUUGACAUGACAUCAUAGCGGUCGUCGGCCGAAGUGCAGGUGGCGGCAUCAACAGUCGGAGUCACUCGGUUACUUAGUCUCCAGUCGGUCGACUCGCCUAUAACAGAUACAAAAUGUUAUGCUCUAAUUUGAUAAAAUCUGUUAUGACGAAACUGUUGUACUAAAAUUUGAUAAAAAUGGUUCAUCACGAUGGAUCAUGCCGAUACUAGCAUAGUAUUUUUUUAUUCAACGGAAAAUAGAAAAUACUAUUGGUUGCAUUGCUUUAGUUAUAUUCGUUAUUGUUGGAGGCAUUAUUUUAGCGACACGUAGUAGGAACAGUCGUCACUUUUGAAGCUGCAAAUAUUCCAUGUACGACAUUGAAUUUUCAUAAUUCUAUGUAAGAUAACAGAUAUAAGAUGAGUUAUAAUAUAGU
Molecule: long non-coding RNA, 4333 nt
Organism: Phymastichus coffea
Lineage: Eukaryota; Metazoa; Arthropoda; Insecta; Hymenoptera; Eulophidae
Exons: 3
Source: RefSeq, a predicted model, not a curated record